Molecule: ribosomal RNA, 484 nt
Filed under: uncultured bacterium
Lineage: Bacteria
Description: partial 16S ribosomal RNA
Rfam family: Bacterial small subunit ribosomal RNA
Source: RNAcentral
AUUGAACGCUGGCGGCAUGCUUUACACAUGCAAGUCGAACGGCAGCGCGGGCUUCGGCCUGGCGGCGAGUGGCGAACGGGUGAGUAAUACAUCGGAACGUGCCCAGUAGUGGGGGAUAGCUCGGCGAAAGCCGGAUUAAUACCGCAUACGACCUGAGGGUGAAAGCGGGGGAUCUUCGGACCUCGCGCUAUUGGAGCCGCCGAUGGCAGAUUAGCUAGUUGGUGGGGUAAAGGCCUACCAAGGCGACGAUCUGUAGCUGGUCUGAGAGGACGACCAGCCACACUGGGACUGAGACACGGCCCAGACUCCUACGGGAGGCAGCAGUGGGGAAUUUUGGACAAUGGGCGAAAGCCUGAUCCAGCAAUGCGGCGUGUGUGAUGAAGGCCUUCGGGUUGUAAAGCACUUUUGGCGGGAACGAAAAGGACUGUGCCAAUACCACGGUUCGAUGACGGUACCCGCAGAAUAAGCACCGGCUAACUACGUG